This 542-nucleotide long non-coding RNA is filed under the name Chinchilla lanigera (long-tailed chinchilla). RNAcentral describes it as "lncRNA (ENSCLAG00000027965.1)". The record is from RNAcentral. Lineage: Eukaryota; Metazoa; Chordata; Mammalia; Rodentia; Chinchillidae.
CUUUUCCCUAGCCUAGAUCUUUUCCUUUAAAACAAGUUCUUCCCAUUUCACAAUAUCUAUUGUAUAUUUUGGCUGGAUCCCUUUUCCAUCUCAUAUAUGUGGACUUCUUUUUUUUCAGGUUUUAUUCAUUUUAUUUUUCUUGUGUAAGAGCCCCUAUGUUGUAGCUACUGCUGAAGCUUGAGUCCUCUGGACAGAGGCUCGGGUGUGGGUUUUCCCAAAAUGGUCUGUGGAUUCCUGAUAGGGAGACUUGGUGAACACUGUCUCUCUCCAGCUCUCAAUUCCUUACCCAAACAGACUAUCAUUGAAUAUCAAGAUCUUCUGCUUACCACUUACGCUUCUGGAAAUCAGCUAGGAAAAAACAAAUGGUAUGAUGCAUUUGCUCUGUAUCCUGCAUCAGAAAAAUAUGUUUUCUUAAGGUAGAACAACAUUAUAUCAUGCCAUAGAAGAUGGUGCUGAUCCAGGAGAAUCAAUCCAAUUUCAUUUAAUUCAAUUCAGUAAGUACUUUUAUUGCAUAUUUAUUUUGCAAUCAAUGCAAUGAGAGA